GAUGAACGCUGGCGGCGUGCCUAAUACAUGCAAGUCGAGCGAACAGACGAGGAGCUUGCUCCUCUGACGUUAGCGGCGGACGGGUGAGUAACACGUGGAUAACCUACCUAUAAGACUGGGAUAACUUCGGGAAACCGGAGCUAAUACCGGAUAAUAUAUUCAACCGCAUGGUUCAAUAGUGAAAGACGGUUUUGCUGUCACUUAUAGAUGGAUCCGCGCCGCAUUAGCUAGUUGGUAAGGUAACGGCUUACCAAGGCAACGAUGCGUAGCCGACCUGAGAGGGUGAUCGGCCACACUGGAACUGAGACACGGUCCAGACUCCUACGGGAGGCAGCAGUAGGGAAUAUUCCGCAAUGGGCGAAAGCCUGACGGAGCAACGCCGCGUGAGUGAUGAAGGUCUUCGGAUCGUAAAACUCUGUUAUUAGGGAAGAACAAAUGUGUAAGUAACUAUGCACGUCUUGACGGUACCUAAUCAGAAAGCCACGGCUAACUACGUG
This 497-nucleotide ribosomal RNA is filed under the name uncultured bacterium. Its description in RNAcentral is "partial 16S ribosomal RNA". It matches the Rfam family "Bacterial small subunit ribosomal RNA", at positions 28 to 507 of the family's 1533-position model. The record is from RNAcentral.